RNAcentral lists this ribosomal RNA (391 nucleotides) under uncultured Helicobacter sp. RNAcentral describes it as "partial 16S ribosomal RNA". The record is from RNAcentral. Lineage: Bacteria; Pseudomonadati; Campylobacterota; Epsilonproteobacteria; Campylobacterales; Helicobacteraceae.
CCACCUACCUCUCCCACACUCUAGAAAAGUAGUUUCAAAUGCAGUUCAGUAGUUAAGCUACAGGAUUUCACAUCUGACUUACUUUCCCGCCUACGCACUCUUUACGCCCAGUGAUUCCGAGUAACGCUUGCACCCUCCGUAUUACCGCGCCCUGCUGGCACGGAGUUAGCCGGUGCUUAUUCGUUAGAUACCGUCAUAAUCUUCUCUAACAAAAGGAGUUUACAAUCCUAAAACCUUCAUCCUCCACGCGGCGUUGCUGCUUCAGGCUUUCGCCCAUUGAGCAAUAUUCCCUACUGCUGCCUCCCGUAGGAGUCUGGACCGUGUCUCAGUUCCAGUGUGUCCGAUCACCCUCUCAGGCCGGAUACCCGUCAUAGCCUUGGUGAGCCUUUAC